UGAGUUCGACAUUCCCAGAAGGGGGAUAGACGUCGAUAUUUGGCAAGGAAUUCGAUGCCUUCAAAAGAGAAGGCCAGGAUCGACAUUCCGCAGGAAAGCAUGUUCGACAUUCCCAGGAAAAAAGGGGAUAGGCGUCAACAUUUGGCAAGGAAUUCGAAUCCUUCAAAAGAGAAGGAUCGACAUUCCACACUACUCUGAUCGACAUCCUCAGAAAAAGGUGGGAUCGACAUUUUUGGGCAACAUCGACAUUUCCAGGGAGAAAUGAGGUCGACUUGUCAAAAAUCCGACACCUUUAGAAAAGGAUCAGCAGUCCUCAACAUCCUCAGAAAAAGGUGGGAUCGACGUUUUUGGCAACAUCGACAUUUCCAGGGAGAAAUGAGAUCGACUUGUCAAAAAUUCGACACCUUUAGAAAAGGAUCAGCAGUCAUCGACAUCCUCAGAAAAAGGUGGGAUCGACAUUUUUG
Molecule: long non-coding RNA, 464 nt
Filed under: Zostera marina
Lineage: Eukaryota; Viridiplantae; Streptophyta; Magnoliopsida; Alismatales; Zosteraceae
Description: long non-coding RNA (ZMAR_LNC001149)
Source: RNAcentral